RNAcentral lists this ribosomal RNA (271 nucleotides) under Oxyrrhis marina. Its description in RNAcentral is "partial Bacterial small subunit ribosomal RNA". It matches the Rfam family "Bacterial small subunit ribosomal RNA", at positions 36 to 315 of the family's 1533-position model. Lineage: Eukaryota; Dinophyceae; Oxyrrhinales; Oxyrrhinaceae. The record is from RNAcentral.
UUGGCGGCGUGGAUUAGGCAUGCAAGUCGGACGUCCCUUUCGGGGGACGUGGCGCAAGGGUGAGUAAGGCGACGGCAACCCACCCCCCGGACGGCCAUAACCGCGGGAAACCGCGGCUAAUAGCCGGCGGCGUCGGGUGUCGGCAUCGACGCCCGAUCAAAGGGUGCGAUUCCGCCGGGGGACGGGCCGUCGGGUAUCAGCUUGUUGGCGGGGUAACGGCCCACCAAGGCUGCGACGCCUACCGGGCGUGCUAGCGUGGCCCGGCACACUG